Rhea pennata is the source of this 2984-nucleotide long non-coding RNA. RefSeq lists it as uncharacterized. The record is from RefSeq and is a predicted model, not a curated record. Lineage: Eukaryota; Metazoa; Chordata; Aves; Rheiformes; Rheidae. The transcript is spliced from 2 exons.
AAAAAAAAAAAAAAAGUCCCCGAGCCUGCUCGCAGGCGGUGCCGGGAGAGGGUGCUCUGCGCCCCCGGGCCGAGCCGAGCCGAGCCGAGCCGCCGGGACCGCCUGCGCCGAGUGCACCGCCUGGGAAUCCCCCGCCCCGGGCUGCCCCGGCCCCGGGGUGCCUGCCCCGGGGUGCACCGACCGUGAGUCCCUUACACCGGGGGUGCACCCCCCGCGCCGCCCUGCCCUGGAGGUGCACAGACUCAGGGCUCCCCGUACCGGAGGUGCUCCAUCCUGGGCUGGAGGAGUGGGACCCAGGGUGCUCCUUCUCUGCCCCCCCAUACCGGGAGUGCACCAACCCCAGGGCCCCGUGCUGGGGAUGCUCCAUUUCGGAAAGGGAGAGUAGGACCCCCGUGUUGGGGGUACUCCAGCCUGCACCAGGGCAGCAGAGCUGCCCCAGGGUGGAGGGUGCCUGGUGAACCCACCCCAGCUCCAUGACGUGAGUGGGAGAAUAUUCCAAAUAUCCCCCUGGGAGAUGUCCAAGCGACCCGCCGCUGCUGCUGCAGGGCUGCCAACGCGCUGCUGUCACGGGGCCCCUGCGUGGCUGCGGCUCCUGCGGCGCAGCCCCGGCCACGCGGGGCCGUUCCCGCGGCAGCCCGUGGGCCUGGGAGGCAUUUUCCUGGGCUGAGGCUGGCCGGGAUGGCACCUGAGAUAGGACAUCUCUGCUCCCCAAGGGAGCUGGGAAAUGCCGAUGCAGGAGGAGGUGGCGAAAGCAAGGAGCAGCCCCAGGUUUGCAGGGAGUCUCCUGGGGACUGGUGGGACGAGUUGCCUGCCUCCUUUCGGGUAGGUGCUGCAUGACCUGCGUGAAGUUUGGUGAGUCAUAUCUGCUUCCUGACACCCAGCUCCCACAGUGCUGCUGGUUUACAAACCUAUUAAGAGUGUCUCAGUUCUUAUCGCCAAAAAUGUUGCGCAUACGGGGCAGGUCUCCUUCCCCAAAUGAGAGUACUUAUUUGUCAGGCUUAGGAGAUCCUUUGAUGGAUGAAAGGCCGGUCGGUGCAAGGAGCUGGUCUCCACCUCUCCAGGGUUAAUUAAAAACCUGGUGCAGAUUUCAAAGGCUCAAGGCCUGUGUAUGGAAGCACAGAAGCACGUGCACGUUUCUGGGCUGAAUGUGCAUCUGCUGGGGAUGUAGCUGUGAACAGAGGCAAAUAGCCGUGUAUCCAGCUGGCAUCGUGUCUUCCUUGUGCUUGAAACAUGCUUGAGCACGUUUGCAUGUGUGUUCGUGGUAACUUCUGCGUAUAGCGGGACCCGGGCCAGCCCACAGGAGCCUCCCCUCUCCCCAGCGCUGCCGGCUCCUGGGCUGUGCUGUGCCCUGUCAAAUAAAAAAAAAUGUUUCUAUAAACCACUUUCAGCAGUUCUGACUUUCGCAGAAGAGGCGGCACCAGAUGUGGUUACAUCCUUCCUUCAGCCUGCAGGUUCAUCCGCGGUGCUGCCUGUCAAAGCCGUCAGUCUCUGCUGCCCCAGAGGGCAGCGGUUAAGACGCCAGAGGCUCCUUCGCCCCUGCGCUGCGGUGCAAAGCCGCAGGGCUGCACGGGCUGCAGGAGCGGGACGAGCGGCCCUGACGGCUCAUCCUGGUCCCCGCAGCGAGGCCCAGGAGCAGGGAGUGCGCCCUCGCCGCUGGGAAGACGCUGACCCUCGUUUCCUGCCUGUCGUGAGGGUGCCGGCGCUGCCUAAGGGGAAGGGGGAAAUCGCAACGCCGCGGAGCCCGGCGGCACCGCGGGCUCGGGGCGCAGCGGGCGCGGGGCUCGGCGGGAGGCUCCUCCGGGGGGAGCGCAGCCGCCCCGGCCCCGCCGGCGCCAGCUCGGCCCCAGCCUCGGCCGAUAACGCGGGCUGCUCGGGGGGUUCGUGCCCGGCACCCUGGGGCCGGCGAGACAUCAGCAAGCGCGGGACGGUGUUAUCGCGGUUUCCCUGGGUCCCCAGUGAUGAUAGUGGCUGGAGAUAGCUCAAGGGUUUUGCCUGGAAAAGCAAUCCGUGGAAGGUUUAUCUCAUCCCUGGCUGAAUUGCCAUAAAUGGGGUAACAGCCAACCCGACGUGGAGUUAUUUGGUACCAGCGUUAAUCUAAAGUGUUUGCCAAGGCUUAUGGAUCAGAGCAAUGUUCACCCAGGCUGCGGAAGCGCCCCAGCUCCCUCUCCAGCUUUAGCUGCCAGGGACUGGUGGGGGUGGAGCGGGCGCCGGCCGACGUCGGGACCCGCGACCCCUGCUCUCUUCGGGGGGGAGACCCGAACUCCUGCUGCGCCCUGGCCGUCUGGGGUGCUCACUCCCCACUGUGAGAAUUUAAAAUUUAUUCCUGAAACGAUUUGCAGGACAUGAGCUUUGCCGGGUGAAAAUAAGAUUUACUGCAGGAAGCAGAUACGUGAUGUGGUCAUUCUUUCUCAUGUAUUUCUUUUUCUCAAAACCUAGUCUUCUGACCAGAAAAUAAAAGAAAAAAGGGGAAAAAAAAAAGAUUUUGCUGGAAGAUUUUUGGCCAGCUCACCAUGCAGGUGAGGAGCCAGUCUGCGGCGAUGCUCCCCCAGCCAAGGAGGCCCUGCGGACCUCUGCAUGGGUCGGGCUGGACCCGCUCCAGCCCUGACCCACGGCGGGAGGGCGGUCUGUGGUUGUGCUCUGUGGCCACGGACGGACAUCGUUUGCAGUCAUUUGUUUUCGUAAACGAGACAUAAAGCGGUCGCUAUCAUUGCCGCUGGUCUUUGCUGGCUCCCUUCAAUGCAAAUCAAAGGCCAGGUCUGCGAGACCUCGUGACUUGGGCUUCGCAUGGCGCAAGAUACCUUAGAAAAUCGUUUGCACAGGAGAGGAUCUUGCAUGUGUAGGAGCCCAAGAAAAAAUCUGCAGACUACUUUGGUUUGUACCUUGGGCUUGAGGCCCUGGGUGAUUCUGCUUUUAGGAGGAGCAGUGAUUUCCAAUCAUUCCUGCCUCUCUCUGUGCUUUUCAAACAAAAUGAUGAUCUGAGUUAA